RNAcentral lists this long non-coding RNA (863 nucleotides) under Elaeis guineensis (African oil palm). RNAcentral's name for it is "long non-coding RNA (EGUI_LNC073557)". Lineage: Eukaryota; Viridiplantae; Streptophyta; Magnoliopsida; Arecales; Arecaceae. The record is from RNAcentral.
CCUCUCCUUAUCAGUCGAGCUACCUUCUAAACCCUCAAACCUUCAGUCAAGUCAUUUCAUUUCUUUUCCCUUCUACAGAGCCUGAACGUAGUCCAACCUGCACGCAUUAAAAAAGCACUGUCAAAUAUUUCUCCCGACUCAGAAAGAUGGAACCAGGCUUGAAACCCGCAUUCCUACUCCCGGCUAUGAGAAUAGUCACUUCCACCCGCAUUCACUAGAGCAACCGUUGUAAGAGUCAAAUUCUUCGCUAUGUACUCUUUCUAAACUUUUAUGUAGCUCGUUCCCUCAACUUAUCUAUCAAGUGAGCAUCCUCCCUUUUCUUCCAAUAAGUUGAAGCAGAAGUGGAUUCCACAGUCCUUUCCCCCUUGUUCUUUGAUUCCCCAUUGGUGGAUUGGAUUACAAAAGAAAGUCCGCUCUCGUCACUGAGAAUUGGGCAGCCUGCCAUGUUCAAGAGCUUUGCCUUCUAUCUCCUCAUUGGCUAGUCCCAAAAACCCACCUGGCCAUCCUUCUUCGUAACAGGGACUAUGUUAGCAAGCCAAUCUGGAUAUUUUUCGACCUCUUCUUUGAUUUUCAACAUCCACUCGGGUCUCAAUCUCCUCAACUUCUACUUUAUGGGCUUGCUAUUCGGGAAUUACUCGCCCUAAUGAUUAAAGAAGGAGAGGCUUAACAGAUACUUAAUUGCUUCUUUAUCGACUUUAGUCCGAAGGUCACUCGUUGGAGGCAUCACAUACUACUCUUAUUAGUCUCUUCCUAAGGUUACUCAAGGAAGGCAUCACAGACACUGACUUGUAUUUCUUCCCAGCUCUUAGUCCUGACUUGCCCUUAUUACGAAAGUGAAAGCCAAUGCUAGCUUAAGAUAGGUC